GGAAACCAGAGAACGUGGGGAAAUUGAUCAUCGUCAAAAGGGCAAAGCAAAUAGCAAAUAUCUGCAAACAGACAAAUUCAAUUAAACAUGGCUUCCCGGUCACGCCAAGAACCGGGAAAAUGGCAGUAAAAACAUACAAACACGCAUCAAAGCUAGAGAAUGAGAGCAAUGGCUGUGUCUUUGUGAUGGCGGAGAUGGUAAGGGAGAGUAUGGCUGAAGAUUUGGCCAUUGCCGGAGGUCUGAUCGCCGUUCAGUUCAUCACCGCCGUCCACGCUGUGUUUCAAAGCUAUCUCAUGACUCUGGAGAUCGAUCCUCUUACCCUUGUCAUUUUUACUUGCUUCUCUACUUUCCUCGUCGUCUUCCCGUUCGCCAUCUACUUUGAAAGGACUAAGUGGCCCCAGAAAUUCAGUUUCAAGUUAAUCCUGCAGAUAUUGAUUCUUUCCUUUGGAGGGGUAACUCUGUUCCAGUCCUUCUCCCUUAAAGGAAUGAAACUGACUUCGCCAACCAUGGGAACUGCCAUGCCAAACCUAGCACCGGGCCUCAUCUUCUUCAUCGCCUGGACUUUCAGGUUAGAGAAGAUCAACGUAAGAAGCAUAUAUAGUAAAGUCAAAAUCUUAGGCACGAUAAUCUGCGUGGCAGGGGCUCUCGCAAUGAGCAUAAUGCAGAGCAUAUCUUCACCUGCGACGAAAAUAGAGGCCGGAAUGAAAUUGCCAUCGUUCCCACCCGAUGCUAUGUUUGAUAUGAAAAAGAUCAAAGGUUGUCUUUACCUUGUGGCUGCUGUCUUCAUAUUAUCAAGCGCUUAUGUUUUGCAGGCUUUAACUUUGCGAGACUUUCCUGCACCCAUAUCCCUCAGCGCAGCCAUAUCCUUACUCGGAGCUUUCAUGACUGCAAUAGCUCAGUUGCUUGAAGAUCACAAAUUGAAAACUGGUGGGCAAUAUCUCAGCGUUGCGAAACUCAUUGGCUUUACUUUUCUGGCAGGUGCAGUGCUUGGAUUAUGCUUCAGCUUCCAUGGAUGGGCAGUAAAGAAGAAAGGACCAGUUUUGGUGUCCAUGUUCAGUCCCAUUUCUACCGUCUGCUCCAUCAUUUUGUCUGCCGUAACUCUCGGAGAUACUAUUAAUAUCGGAAGCCUUGUGGGUAUGUUCCUCAUGUUCACGGGGCUCUAUUUUGUGCUCUGGGCAAAAGGGAAAGAAGGGUUCGCUGAUGCAGAUAGCUUAGAGGCCGAGUUUGAUGCAGAGAAGCCUCUCCUGAGUUGAAGUGCGAGAGUUUUUUAGCGAGUAAUUAUUAUGUGCAUAUUCUCAUCGCUAGAACCAUAGAGUGAGAUAGGUCAAGCCACAGUAGAUUUUAUAAUAAGAUAUAUACUGGUGGUACAAGGUGAUGGAAAUUCAGAACGAGUCUGUGAAGUGCUUUUGGAGUGUAAAUAGCAAAGUGUAAUAGAUGGUUUGAAGGUCACGAUCAACUCAUUAAGCAGGGAGACCAGCUAUGAUUGUGCAGCUCGUUGCAAGAUAUCAC
This is an RNA transcript of Prosopis cineraria, 1509 nucleotides long. It is a transcript of the gene named WAT1-related protein At5g47470-like, with no coding region annotated. The transcript has 8 exons. NCBI's taxonomy places the organism in Eukaryota, Viridiplantae, Streptophyta, Magnoliopsida, Fabales, Fabaceae. The record is from RefSeq and is a predicted model, not a curated record.